AGGAGAUAUUAGUAGAUACAAUGGAGCUAUCAUUUCGACGAUAAGAUCACUCUAUUGUAUCUACUGAUAUUUGCUUGU
RNAcentral lists this microRNA precursor (78 nucleotides) under Dinoponera quadriceps. RNAcentral describes it as "microRNA dqu-mir-11661 precursor". The record is from miRBase by way of RNAcentral. Lineage: Eukaryota; Metazoa; Arthropoda; Insecta; Hymenoptera; Formicidae.